AUUGAUUUCUUUAGGACUGCUGGAAACUUACUGAUAUAAUUCUGUUUCUGUCAGCUAGGAUGAAUGACAGUCCACAAGAGUAAAAGUCAAAGUAACUACAAACCUGUUUUGUCCAUUAUUUGAACAAAAGCCUGUGUGUAGAGCCUACUGGAUAUUUCACUAACCCUCUUUCUCCCAACAAGGACAGAUGCCGUGGUUCUUGUACUAGCAGUUCAGUAAAGUUCUGAAAGAACUUCAAGACUGGAACAAAAUCCCAUGUCCAUUCGUACCCUAAGGGGAAAAAAAAAUAAUAAUUAAAAAAAAAAUAAUCUAGAAGCCAGAAGGUAAAUGGAUUUGCAAUAAGCUGACCAUACCAAAUUGCUCAGAACAGAGAGCUCUAAUUGUGACUGUAAAAAGACAAAGAAUCCUACAGAAGGAUCUCAUGAUAGUAAGAAAUUAAACAUGGAAAUUGUGGAUAAAAAUCAGUGCUAAUUAGUGGAAAUGUAGACUGAGCUUAGUAGAAUUUGAUUUUUCUUGUGUUUCUCAUGUGGUACAAGAUGAAAUGUAAGAAUUCUGUUUAUAUAUUGUUGUAGCUUUAGCAUAAUUGGUUUUAAGUGACUGUUUGAAAUUCUUGGUUGUAGCUCUAAACUCUUCUUCACAAUGGUGGAUGAGACUGAACGUUUUGAUAUUUUCCAAGACCACAUGGAAAGCAGAUCUUGUACUGGGAAGGAAGUGUCUGAGUUUAUUGGUUAGCGGCUGUGUUCUGAAAUGUCAUAUCCUGACCCAGCUAGUGCUUUGCUUUAUCCUCUUGCUGGACCUUCAAGAGUGGCUGUCACAUUAACUAAACAAGACAGAGGCCUACAGCAGUACCUUGUGGAAGCUGCAUAUAACUAUGUUCCUCAGGGAAAAUUGAUUCUUCUAAGAAUUCACGAAUUGGACACCUGGUGUUGAUAAUAGAUGACCAAGAUGUAUAUUACAUUAAGGUAUGUUUUCAGAUCAUGAGCUCUGGUACUAGGAUGAAUACUCAAAUAAAAGCAUGGAAAAGAGAGUAAAUUAAACA
Molecule: long non-coding RNA, 1039 nt
Filed under: Anas platyrhynchos platyrhynchos (common mallard)
Lineage: Eukaryota; Metazoa; Chordata; Aves; Anseriformes; Anatidae
Description: lncRNA (ENSAPLG00000027457.1)
Source: RNAcentral